This 76-nucleotide transfer RNA is filed under the name Peptostreptococcaceae bacterium. Its description in RNAcentral is "tRNA-Asn". It matches the Rfam family "tRNA". From Rfam's summary of the family: Transfer RNA (tRNA) molecules are approximately 80 nucleotides in length. Their secondary structure includes four short double-helical elements and three loops (D, anti-codon, and T loops). Lineage: Bacteria; Bacillati; Bacillota; Clostridia; Peptostreptococcales; Peptostreptococcaceae. The record is from RNAcentral.
UCCGAGGUAGCUCAAUUGGUAGAGCAAUCGGCUGUUAACCGAUAGGUCGUGGGUUCGAGUCCCACCCUCGGAGCCA